Molecule: ribosomal RNA, 253 nt
Filed under: uncultured bacterium
Lineage: Bacteria
Description: partial 16S ribosomal RNA
Rfam family: Bacterial small subunit ribosomal RNA
Source: RNAcentral
UACGUAGGGGGCAAGCGUUGUCCGGAUUUACUGGGCGUAAAGAGCGCGUAGGCGGACGUUUAAGUGUGGCCUGAAAGCCCCCGGCUCAACCGGGGAUCCGGGUUGCAAACUGGACGUCUUGAGGGGGAUAGGGGAAGGUGGAAUUCCUGGUGUAGCGGUGAAAUGCGCAGAUAUCAGGAAGAACACCAGUGGCGAAGGCGGCUCACUGGCCCGGUACUGACGCUGAGGAGCGAAAGCAUGGGUAGCGAACAGG